AUUGAACGCUGGCGGCAUGCCUUACACAUGCAAGUCGAACGGUAACGGGUCCUUCGGGAUGCCGACGAGUGGCGAACGGGUGAGUAAUAUAUCGGAACGUGCCCAGUAGUGGGGGAUAACUGCUCGAAAGAGCAGCUAAUACCGCAUACGACCUGAGGGUGAAAGGGGGGGAUCGCAAGACCUCUCGCUAUGGGAGCGGCCGAUAUCAAAUUAGCUAGUUGGUGGGGUAAAGGCCUACCAAGGCAACGAUCUGUAGUUGGUCGGAGGGGACGACCAGCCACACUGGGACUGAGACACGGCCCAGACUCCUACGGGAGGCAGCAGUGGGGAAUUUUGGACAAUGGGCGCAAGCCUGAUCCAGCAAUGCCGCGUGCAGGAAGAAGGCCUUCGGGUUGUAAACUGCUUUUGUCAGGGAAGAAAUCUUCUGGGCUAAUACCCCGGGAGGAUGACGGUACCCGAAGAAUAAGCACCGGCUAACUACGUGCCAGCCGCCGCCGUAA
RNAcentral lists this ribosomal RNA (500 nucleotides) under uncultured bacterium. RNAcentral's name for it is "partial 16S ribosomal RNA". It matches the Rfam family "Bacterial small subunit ribosomal RNA", at positions 30 to 523 of the family's 1533-position model. The record is from RNAcentral.